RNAcentral lists this ribosomal RNA (467 nucleotides) under uncultured bacterium. Its description in RNAcentral is "partial 16S ribosomal RNA". It matches the Rfam family "Bacterial small subunit ribosomal RNA", at positions 28 to 506 of the family's 1533-position model. The record is from RNAcentral.
GACGAACGCUGGCGGCGUGCUUAACACAUGCAAGUCGAACGGAAAGGCCCUGCUUUGGUGGGGUGCUCGGGUGGCGAACGGGUGAGUAACACGGGAGUAACCUGCCCUUGACUUUGGGAUAACUUCAGGAAACGGGGGCUAAUACCGGAUAGGAGCUCCUGCUGCAUGGGGGGGGUUGGAAAGUUUCGGCGGUUGGGGAUGGACUCGCGGCUUACCAGCUUGUUGGUGGGGUAGUGGCUUACCAAGGCUUUGACGGGUAGCCGGCCUGAGAGGGUGACCGGCCACAUUGGGACUGAGAUACGACCCGGACUCCUACGGGAGGAAGCAGUGGGGAAUAUUGCACAAUGGGCGGAGGCCGGAAGCAGCAACGCCGCGUGCGGGAUGACGGCCUUCGGGUUGUAAACAGCUUUCGCCUGUGACGAAGCGUGAGUGACGGUAAUGGGUAAAGAAGCACCGGCUAACUACGU